CUUGAAACUGAUUCAGUUUCUGCCCAUAUCAGAGUCCUUUCAUGGAGCCAUUCCUAUUCAAAAUAAAGUGCUUUAAGAAAAGCACCGUGGUGGGGUUUAAAGUAAUCCAAAAAGUAUGGGGUGGCUUAGAAUUUUUGUUACAGCUAAAAGGGCCAAAUUCAGGACAGGAGGAGAACAGAAAUUAUGCUUCUCUGUACAUACUAAGCCUUUUUUGACCUAAGGCAUUUAUCCCAAAGAACAGGAGGCUUUACCAUCUCUCACAGGGUUUGCGGUAAGGGUGGUACUUCUCUACUUCCCACCAAGAUUUGCUUCGUUACAAGGUAUCACUCAAAAUUAUUCUGAAUUAACUCUCUCUCUGGGAAUGGUCUCUCUCAUGAUAGCCACAGUCAUUUCUUGAUGUCUAAAAUAUAGUUCUGAAAAUAUUGUCCAUUUAUUACCUCAGUACCAGCAGUUGUAUUCAGAUAUAACUGUCCCUUAAGUCAUGAAAACUGUUUUUUUCUAAUACCAAACCAAACACAGAUGUAGUUGUCAGAAAUGUAGAGUGUUCAUGAAUGGUGUUUAUCCUGUAAGUGACAGCCAGGCAUAUGUUAGAAAAUUAUUUACUUAAAUUACAAGAUUGUCAAGGGGCCAAGCAAGAGCUAUUAAGAAAAAUGCCAUUGUUCUGGGCACCACACACAAAGAGUAGCAGAGGAGACAUCUAGGCUGCAGAACUCAGAAGCUCUUCCAAGUCCUAUCUCUGGGAGCAGGCAGUGGCUGCGUCCUCACUGCCCAGUGGACUCCAGUUUGGGGAGGUCCUCCAGCUGAAAGGUGGGACUGCUCUACAAAACAUCAGGCAUGGACUUCGCAUAGGCCCUAAGAGUGCCACAUUGUGCACUUACUGGUAAGUACAGCCAUAGCAGGAGAUUUAUUAUCCAAAAGAGAGUUGUGAUCUAAGUAAACAAGUUGGACAAUGGGCUGGAGAGAAGCGAUGGAAUACAUACUGAGCUGAGUGAUGUUUUGCAUAAGUCUUCUUAGUUUAAUGACAUUUGUUUAUUCGUUUGUUCAUUUUUCUCGAAAAGGAAGCAACACUUUCUUAAACUACUGGGGCGGGGUUUUGUUAGAUGGUGUUUUAGUGAACUGAAAGACAAAGGAUAGAAAGGAAAUAGCACAAGAGGAAGAAGCCUGGAACAGAAGUGGAAUGCAAUGAAAGCAAAGAGAGCACACAGGAAGAGACUACAGAAGGCUCCUACACAGUCUGAAUAGCACUGCAAGGCUGAACACAUGGAAAAGUUAUGUGAAUGCUUCACCUGGCAGCCAGCUUGAAACUCCAGCACAAGGAACCACUGUGACUUCAUUUGGACUUCAAAGGGAAAUGCCACAGUUCUGCUGAACAAAUGCUCGAGAGUGCUGAGAGGCAGCAGUGAAGAGGUUAAAUAUAUAUUAAUGUGGGCCAAGAUUCUAUUUUUUACCAAAACUUGAAUGCAUGAAGAAAUGUAAGUAGGAGGAAGAAGAGAAGGGAUGGAUCUGGGAGGUGAAAGGAAAAGUCACUUGCUCUGUAUCCAGGGUAAAUGUUUAGAAAUCACUGCUUAUAGACAUCAAAUGGUUUGGAAUAUCCUUAGAAAUGUGCUUUUCCCCCCAAGACAGACAUUUCUGAGAGGGGGGAGUGAAGUAGGGAGGGGAGAAGAAGGGAGAAUAGGGGUAUUCGCUGUCUUGCGGUACGUCUGGAAUCCUCUUAUCUCCAGCAAAACUGAGAACACCUGGACAACACUUGUCUUUUUCCCCCACCCACCUGUGCAAAUUGCUCAGCACAUUGCUUUUCAAAGCACUGUGCCUUAUGCCAGUCACAUCACAGAGAUCCAUUGUGACUUCUCUGAAUAUCAAAGUAAAACCAUUGCACAUCUUUGCACAAAUACUGAGGGGGGCGGUUGUGAAGGGGUUAAGAGAUCAAGUUCUGCUAUAAAGAUAACAGGGACUGGAGAACACGCAGCAGAUGUUAUAUGUGGAGGCACUUAAGUUUACAGUCCCACCUGUGUCCAUUUAAUACCUUUAAAAACAAUCUCCUGUUCAUUUGUGAAGGAGAAUAGAAAAUCGAUGUUCCAAUCUCAGCAUCUGCUCACAACAUCCACAUCCCACAUGAGGAAAGGGAGGAGAUGAUGGGAUGAGCAGACAAGACAGGAGGGCUGAAGCUGAGAUUUAAGAAUAUAAAUAUACGGAGAUUUAUGCAAGUACACAUCCCAAUGUGGAAAGUGAGCCAUGCUUUUGUAUGCAAGGCAACUCAUGCCCUGUGCUGGGGAACAGCAGCCCGAUCUUAAUGCUAGUGUUUAAAUGUCUUAAGAGCAGUAAGAAC
This is a long non-coding RNA of Gallus gallus (chicken), 2326 nucleotides long. The record is from Ensembl. Lineage: Eukaryota; Metazoa; Chordata; Aves; Galliformes; Phasianidae.